CUCCACCCUUUCCUGUCCAGACCACUGUGAAGGCCUUUAGUCACCUCCUAGAGAAGCAAGAUUUUCAGCCCUGGCUUUCUACCCCCACACCCUACAGCCGGCCAGGGGACAGGGUCGUGUUCACACAGUGCUAAGGGAACACGCUGACGUGUGUGACAUCAAGAACUCCAGUGCCCACACAGCCCGAGUCCGGAUGGGACGUUUGAAAUCAGGAAGGAGUGUGGGUUGGAUCCACGUUUCUGUUCAUACCAGGCAGGCACAUCGGAAGGCUCACGGUCAGAGGAUGCUGGGACAAACGCCACGAGAGGUUCCUUUUUGUCUGGCUCACCCAGAAGAGAGGCUCCUCUCCUCCCUUCCCUGCAGCACAACGGCCUGGCUGGCACCCAAAGGGCAGCCGGCAUGGGCUGACCUCAGAGGAGCAAGGCGUGUUUGCAGCUCUGCCGCUCACAUCCACAGUGGCCAUGACAACAGGUGCAGCACCAUCCAUUAAAGCCCUGUGUCAUUUCA
RNAcentral lists this long non-coding RNA (507 nucleotides) under Homo sapiens (human). RNAcentral describes it as "CAMTA1 antisense RNA 2, transcript variant 2 (CAMTA1-AS2)". Lineage: Eukaryota; Metazoa; Chordata; Mammalia; Primates; Hominidae. The record is from RNAcentral.